AUGGGCCAGGCCUUUCGCAAGCUCUUCGAUGCCUUCUUCGGCAACAAGGAGAUGCGGGUGGUGAUGCUUGGGUUGGAUGCAGCCGGUAAAACCACCAUACUCUACAAGCUACACAUUGGCGAAGUACUCUCCACCGUCCCCACCAUUGGUUUCAAUGUUGAGAAGGUUCAGUACAAGAAUGUAGUGUUCACUGUGUGGGAUGUGGGCGGCCAGGAGAAAUUGAGGCCCUUGUGGAGGCACUACUUCAACAACACGGAUGCUCUGAUCUAUGUGGUUGAUUCCCUCGACAGGGAUAGAAUUGGAAGAGCCAGGGCUGAAUUUCAGGCCAUAAUCAAUGACCCAUUUAUGCUCAACAGUGUAUUAUUGGUGUUUGCUAACAAGCAAGACAUGAGGGGAGCAAUGACCCCGAUGGAAGUAUGCGAGGGUCUUGGUCUGUAUGACCUGAACAACCGCAUCUGGCACAUCCAAGGCACAUGUGCUCUUAAAGGCGAUGGCCUGUACGAAGGCUUGGACUGGCUAGCGACGACUCUGGAUGAAAUGCGAGCUACAGGGCGGUUAGCUUCGACAUCGGCGUAA
This 576-nucleotide ribosomal RNA is filed under the name Triticum aestivum (bread wheat). RNAcentral describes it as "partial small subunit ribosomal RNA". Lineage: Eukaryota; Viridiplantae; Streptophyta; Magnoliopsida; Poales; Poaceae. The record is from RNAcentral.